UGUCUGUGUAUGUGUCUGACUGUGUGUGUGUGUGUUUGUGUCUGACUGUGUUUGUGUCUGUGUAUGUGUCUGACUGUGUGUGUGUGUGUGUUUGUGUCUGACUGUGUGUGUGUAUGUGACUGUGUGUGUCUGUGUGUUUGUGUCUGACUGUGUGUGUCUGACUGUGUGUGUGUGUUUGUGUCUGACUGUGUGUGUGUGUGUGUUUGUGUCUGACUGUGUCUGUG
This is a non-coding RNA of Pelobates cultripes (western spadefoot toad), 224 nucleotides long. Lineage: Eukaryota; Metazoa; Chordata; Amphibia; Anura; Pelobatidae. The record is from the annotation of a GenBank genome assembly.